CUCCCAAACCCAAUGUGAACCAUACCAAACUGUUGCCUCGGCGGGGUCACGCCCCGGGUGCGUCGCAGCCCCGGAACCAGGCGCCCGCCGGAGGGACCAACCAAACUCUUUCUGUAGUCCCCUCGCGGACGUUAUUUCUUACAGCUCUGAGCAAAAAUUCAAAAUGAAUCAAAACUUUCAACAACGGAUCUCUUGGUUCUGGCAUCGAUGAAGAACGCAGCGAAAUGCGAUAAGUAAUGUGAAUUGCAGAAUUCAGUGAAUCAUCGAAUCUUUGAACGCACAUUGCGCCCGCCAGUAUUCUGGCGGGCAUGCCUGUCCGAGCGUCAUUUCAACCCUCGAACCCCUCCGGGGGGUCGGCGUUGGGGAUCGGGAACCCCUAAGACGGGAUCCCGGCCCCGAAAUACAGUGGCGGUCUCGCCGCAGCCUCUCCUGCGCAGUAGUUUGCACAACUCGCACCGGGAGCGCGGCGCGUCCACGUCCGUAAAACACCCAACUUCUGAAAUGUUGACCUCGGAUCAGGUAGGAAUACCC
This 531-nucleotide ribosomal RNA is filed under the name Trichoderma koningiopsis. Its description in RNAcentral is "eukaryotic LSU rRNA". The stretch from base 173 to 326 matches the Rfam family "5.8S ribosomal RNA". The record is from RNAcentral. Lineage: Eukaryota; Fungi; Ascomycota; Sordariomycetes; Hypocreales; Hypocreaceae.